UGGGGAAUAUUGGACAAUGGGCGCAAGCCUGAUCCAGCCAUGCCGCGUGAGUGAUGAAGGCCCUAGGGUUGUAAAGCUCUUUCACCGGUGAAGAUAAUGACGGUAACCGGAGAAGAAGCCCCGGCUAACUUCGUGCCAGCAGCCGCGGUAAUACGAAGGGGGCUAGCGUUGUUCGGAUUUACUGGGCGUAAAGCGCACGUAGGCGGACUAUUAAGUCAGGGGUGAAAUCCCGGGGCUCAACCCCGGAACUGCCUUUGAUACUGGUAGUCUUGAGUGCGAGAGAGGUGAGUGGAAUUCCGAGUGUAGAGGUGAAAUUCGUAGAUAUUCGGAGGAACACCAGUGGCGAAGGCGGCUCACUGGCUCGAUACUGACGCUGAGGUGCGAAAGCGUGGGGAGCAAACAGG
RNAcentral lists this ribosomal RNA (404 nucleotides) under Actinomycetes bacterium. Its description in RNAcentral is "Actinobacteria bacterium partial 16S ribosomal RNA". It matches the Rfam family "Bacterial small subunit ribosomal RNA", at positions 355 to 776 of the family's 1533-position model. Lineage: Bacteria; Bacillati; Actinomycetota; Actinomycetes. The record is from RNAcentral. RNAcentral also lists the same sequence under 1 other name.